UACGGAGGGUGCAAGCGUUAUCCGGAUUCACUGGGUUUAAAGGGUGCGUAGGCGGAUUGGUAAGUCCGUGGUGAAAUCCCCGAGCUUAACUUGGGAACUGCCGUGGAUACUAUCAGUCUUGAAUAUCGUGGAGGUAAGCGGAAUAUGUCAUGUAGCGGUGAAAUGCUUAGAUAUGACAUAGAACACCAAUUGCGUAGGCAGCUUACUACUCGAUCAUUGACGCUGAGGCACGAAAGCGUGGGGAGCAAACAGG
Molecule: ribosomal RNA, 253 nt
Filed under: uncultured bacterium
Lineage: Bacteria
Description: partial 16S ribosomal RNA
Rfam family: Bacterial small subunit ribosomal RNA
Source: RNAcentral